AUUGCCUUAGUAACGGCGAGUGAAGCGGCAAAAGCUCAAAUUUGAAAUCUGGCGUCUUUGGCGUCCGAGUUGUAAUUUGAAGAUGGCAACUUUGGGUCUGGUGCUUGUCUAAGUUCCUUGGAACAGGACGUCAUAGAGGGUGAGAAUCCCGUAUGAUGAGAGAGCCAGAUCUUUGUAAAGUGCCUUCGAAGAGUCGAGUUGUUUGGGAAUGCAGCUCUAAGUGGGUGGUAAAUUCCAUCUAAAGCUAAAUAUUGGCGAGAGACCGAUAGCGAACAAGUACAGUGAUGGAAAGAUGAAAAGAACUUUGAAAAGAGAGUGAAAAAGUACGUGAAAUUGUUGAAAGGGAAGGGUUUGAGAUCAGACAUGGUAUUUUGUACACCUUCUCUCUCGGGAGGGGGCCUCUGCAGUUUACUGGGCCAGCAUCAGUUUGGACGGUAGGAUAAUGACUAGGGAAUGUGGCUCUUCUUCGGGAGAGUGUUAUAGCCUUGGUUGAUACUGCCAGUCUAGACUGAGGACCGCGUCUUGACAAGGGAUGUUGUC
This 540-nucleotide ribosomal RNA is filed under the name Millerozyma acaciae. RNAcentral describes it as "LSU rRNA". It matches the Rfam family "Eukaryotic large subunit ribosomal RNA", at positions 74 to 630 of the family's 3401-position model. The record is from RNAcentral. Lineage: Eukaryota; Fungi; Ascomycota; Pichiomycetes; Serinales; Debaryomycetaceae.